RNAcentral lists this ribosomal RNA (440 nucleotides) under uncultured bacterium. Its description in RNAcentral is "partial 16S ribosomal RNA". It matches the Rfam family "Bacterial small subunit ribosomal RNA", at positions 339 to 795 of the family's 1533-position model. The record is from RNAcentral.
CUACGGGGCGCAGCAGUGAGGAAUAUUGCACAAUGGGGGGAACCCUGAUGCAGCAACGCCGCGUGGAGGAUGACGCAUUUCGGGGUGUAAACUCCUUUUAUAUGUCAAGAAAAUGACGGUAGCAUAUGAAUAAGCACCGGCUAACUCCGUGCCAGCAGGCCGCGGUAAUACGGAGGGUGCAAGCGUUACUCGGAAUCACUGGGCGUAAAGGACGCGUAGGCGGGUUGGAAAGUCAGGUGUGAAAUCCUACAGCUUAACCGUAGAACUGCACUUGAAACUUCUAAUCUAGAGUAUGGGAGGGGGAGAUGGAAUUAGUGGUGUAGGGGUAAAAUCCGUAGAUAUCACUAGGAAUACCGAAAGCGAAGGCGGUCUCCUGGAACAUUACUGACGCUAAGGUGUGAAAGCGUGGGGAGCAAACAGGAUUAGAUACCCCAGUAGUC